RNAcentral lists this ribosomal RNA (466 nucleotides) under uncultured bacterium. RNAcentral describes it as "bacterial SSU rRNA". It matches the Rfam family "Bacterial small subunit ribosomal RNA", at positions 29 to 506 of the family's 1533-position model. The record is from RNAcentral.
AUGAACGUUGGCGGCGUGGAUUAGGCAUGCAAGUCGUGCGGAAAGGCCCCGCAAGGGGUACUCGAGCGGCGAAAGGGAUAGUAAUGCGUGGAUACCUGCCCUGGGGACGGGGAUAGCUGCUGGAAACGGCAAUUAAUACCCGAUGACGUCUCCGGACCAAAGGUGUGAUUCCGCCCUGGGAGGGGUCCACGUCCUAUUAGCUAGUUGGUGAGGUAACGGCUCACCAAGGCCACGAUGGGUAGCGGGUGUGAGAGCACGACCCGCAUCACUGGGACUGAGACACUGCCCAGACACCUACGGGUGGCUGCAGUCGAGGAUCUUCGGCAAUGGGCGAAAGCCUGACCGAGCGACGCCGCGUGCGGGAUGAAGGCCUUCGGGUUGUAAACCGCUUUCGGAGGGGAGGAAAUCGAGGAGGGAUCACCCUUCUCGUUGACCUAUCCUAAGAAGAAGGACGGGCUAAGUUCGU